AGUGAACGCUGGCGGUAGGCUUAACACAUGCAAGUCGAACGGCAGCACACUAAGGGUUUGCUUUUCGGGGUGGGGGGGGGCGGACGGUGGAGGAAUCAAUCGAACCCUACUUUUUGGUGGGGGUUAAGGUGGGGAAACUUACCCUAAUACCGCAUCCACCCUACGGUGGAAAGCAGGGGACCUUCGAACCUUUCGCGAUUGAAUGAGCCGAUGUCGGAGUAGUUAGUUGGCGGGGUAAAGGCCCACCAAGUCGACGAUCCGUAGCUGGUCUGAGAGGAUGAUCAGCCACACUGGAACUGAGACACGGUCCAGACUCCUACGGGAGGCAGCAGUGGGGAAUAUUGGACAAUGGGCGCAAGCCUGAUCCAGCCAUACCGCGUGGGUGAAGAAGGCCUUCGGGUUGUAAAGCCCUUUUGUUGGGAAAGAAAAGCAGCAGGUUAAUACCCCGCUGUUCUGACGGUACCCAAAGAAUAAGCACCGGCUAACUUCGUG
Molecule: ribosomal RNA, 492 nt
Filed under: uncultured bacterium
Lineage: Bacteria
Description: partial 16S ribosomal RNA
Rfam family: Bacterial small subunit ribosomal RNA
Source: RNAcentral